This 28-nucleotide non-coding RNA is filed under the name Bombyx mori (domestic silkworm). The record is from RNAcentral. Lineage: Eukaryota; Metazoa; Arthropoda; Insecta; Lepidoptera; Bombycidae.
UCUUAUUAAAAGUAGGCUUACGCGUUGC